AUUGAACGCUGGCGGCAGGCCUAACACAUGCAAGUCGAGCGGAUGAAGGGAGCUUGCUCCUGUAUUCAGCGGCGGACGGGUGAGUAAUGCCUAGGAAUCUGCCUUGUCGUGGGGGAUAACGUCCGUAAACGGGCGCUAAUACCGCAUACGUCCUGAGUGAGAAAGUGGGGGAUCUUCGGACCUCACGCUAUCAGAUGAGCCUAGGUCGGAUUAGCUAGUUGGUGGGGUAAAGGCCUACCAAGGCGACGAUCCGUAACUGGUCUGAGAGGAUGAUCAGUCACACUGGAACUGAGACACGGUCCAGACUCCUACGGGAGGCAGCAGUGGGGAAUAUUGGACAAUGGGCGAAAGCCUGAUCCAGCAAUGCCGCGUGUGUGAAGAAGGUCUUCGGAUUGUAAAGCACUGUAAGUUGGGAGGAAGGGAAGUAAGUUAAUACCUUGCUGUUUUGACGUUACCAACAGAAUAAGCACCGGCUAACUUCGUG
This 484-nucleotide ribosomal RNA is filed under the name uncultured bacterium. RNAcentral describes it as "partial 16S ribosomal RNA". It matches the Rfam family "Bacterial small subunit ribosomal RNA", at positions 30 to 507 of the family's 1533-position model. The record is from RNAcentral.